UGGGGAAUAUUGGACAAUGGGCGCAAGCCUGAUCCAGCCAUGCCGCGUGAGUGAUGAAGGCCUUAGGGUUGUAAAGCUCUUUCGCCGGUGAAGAUAAUGACGGUAACCGGAGAAGAAGCCCCGGCUAACUUCGUGCCAGCAGCCGCGGUAAUACGAAGGGGGCUAGCGUUGCUCGGAAUCACUGGGCGUAAAGCGCACGUAGGCGGAUCGUUAAGUCAGGGGUGAAAUCCUGGAGCUCAACUCCAGAACUGCCCUUGAUACUGGCGAUCUCGAGUUCGAGAGAGGUUGGUGGAACUCCGAGUGUAGAGGUGAAAUUCGUAGAUAUUCGGAAGAACACCAGUGGCGAAGGCGGCCAACUGGCUCGAUACUGACGCUGAGGUGCGAAAGCGUGGGGAGCAAAACAGGAUUAGAUACCCUGGUAGUCCACGCCGUAAAACGAUGGAUGCUAGCCGUUGGGGGGUUUACCUCUCAGUGGCGCAGCUAACGCCUUAAGCAUCCCGCCUGGGGAGUACGGUCGCAAGAUUAAAACUUAAAUAAAUUGACGGGGUCAUAGCUGUUUCCU
Molecule: ribosomal RNA, 562 nt
Filed under: uncultured bacterium
Lineage: Bacteria
Description: partial 16S ribosomal RNA
Rfam family: Bacterial small subunit ribosomal RNA
Source: RNAcentral